Long non-coding RNA from Triticum dicoccoides, 290 nucleotides. RefSeq lists it as uncharacterized. NCBI's taxonomy places the organism in Eukaryota, Viridiplantae, Streptophyta, Magnoliopsida, Poales, Poaceae. The record is from RefSeq and is a predicted model, not a curated record. The transcript is spliced from 3 exons.
CCUCGUCACCUGCUCCUAGGUCGCCCCCGAAGUCGAGCUCCCCACGCUCGACCUGCAAGAUGUACUGUGGACAAGAACUGCUCUCUGCCGCAUGAGUAGAUUGGAAAGGCAAGGCGCAAGGAGCGAUUGGAAAGGCUGCUGCUGCUCCUGGACGAUGCAACUCCUGAUACCACUACCUCUUGUCGAUUCGGGCAUGAGCACAUUCUUGGAGUGGAUCUGCAUUUCAAAUAGUUUACAAGUGGGAGUACAUGGAUUACUACAGAUUAAAUCGAGGGGAAGAUGGUCCCUGC